CCUACGGGGGGCAGCAGUCGAGAAUCAUUCACAAUGGGGGAAACCCUGAUGGUGCGACACCGCGUGGGGGAAUGAAGGUCUUCGGAUUGUAAACCCCUGUCAUGUGGGAGCAAAUUAAAAAGAUAGUACCACAAGAGGAAGAGACGGCUAACUCUGUGCCAGCAGCCGCGGUAAUACAGAGGUCUCAAGCGUUGUUCGGAAUCACUGGGCGUAAAGCGUGCGUAGGCUGUUUCGUAAGUCGUGUGUGAAAGGCGCGGGCUCAACCCGCGGACGGCACAUGAUACUGCGAGACUAGAGUAAGGGAGGGGGAACCGGAAUUCUCGGUGUAGCAGUGAAAUGCGUAGAUAUCGAGAGGAACACUCGUGGCGAAGGCGGGUUCCUGGACAUUAACUGACGCUGAGGCACGAAGGCCAGGGGAGCGAAAGGGAUUAGAUACCCUAGUAGUC
This 446-nucleotide ribosomal RNA is filed under the name uncultured bacterium. RNAcentral's name for it is "partial 16S ribosomal RNA". It matches the Rfam family "Bacterial small subunit ribosomal RNA", at positions 338 to 795 of the family's 1533-position model. The record is from RNAcentral.